RNAcentral lists this ribosomal RNA (306 nucleotides) under Triticum aestivum (bread wheat). RNAcentral's name for it is "partial small subunit ribosomal RNA". The record is from RNAcentral. Lineage: Eukaryota; Viridiplantae; Streptophyta; Magnoliopsida; Poales; Poaceae.
AUGAUGAAUACUACUAAUGACCAUCAUAUAUCACAAGAUAAGAUAGACCAUGCUCGUCUCUUGAUAAACAACAACAACAACAAGAAAACACACAAGAUCUGUAUUGUAUCGGCCAUGCAAAUUGGCUGGGUAUAUCCAAAAAUGUUGUUGUUACCUCUUGUUCUUCUGCCAAAAAAUCACUCUUCCAGGUCCCCUCCUUACCCAGCCAUGUAUCUAUGUCAACUUCAAUUAUUAAACAUGCAAGCCAGACAGACAGACAGACAGAGGUUACGGGUUACCUGCACUGCACUGCCUAGGAUGAUAUGA